This 440-nucleotide ribosomal RNA is filed under the name uncultured bacterium. RNAcentral describes it as "partial 16S ribosomal RNA". It matches the Rfam family "Bacterial small subunit ribosomal RNA", at positions 338 to 795 of the family's 1533-position model. The record is from RNAcentral.
CCUACGGGUGGCUGCAGUGGGGGAUAUUGCACAAUGGGGGGAACCCUGAUGCAGCGACGCCGCGUGGGUGAAGAAGCGCCUCGGCGCGUAAAGCCCUGUCAGCAGGGAAGAAAAUGACGGUACCUGAAGAAGAAGCCCCGGCUAACUACGUGCCAGCAGCCGCGGUAAUACGUAGGGGGCACGCGUUAUCCGGAUAUACUGGGGGGAAAGGGGGCGCAGACGGCGAUGCAAGCCAGGAGUGAAAGCCCGGGGCCCAACCCCGGAACUGCUCUUGGAACUGCGUGGCUGGAGUGUCGGAGAGGCAAGCGGAAUUCCUAGUGUAGCGGUGAAAUGCGUAGAUAUUAGGAGGAACACCAGUGGCGAAGGCGGCCUGCUGGACGAUGACUGACGUUGAGGCUCGAAAGCGUGGGGAGCAAACAGGAUUAGAUACCCCAGUAGUC